CGCUGGCGGCGUGCUUAACACAUGCAAGUCGAACGAUGACUUUUGUGCUUGCACAGAAUGAUUAGUGGCGAACGGGUGAGUAACACGUGAGUAACCUGCCCCUGACUCUGGGAUAAGCCUGGGAAACUGGGUCUAAUACUGGAUAUGCACCGUAGACCGCAUGGUUUUUGGUGGAAAGAAUUUUGGUCAGGGAUGGACUCGCGGCCUAUCAGCUUGUUGGUGAGGUAAUGGCUCACCAAGGCGACGACGGGUAGCCGGCCUGAGAGGGUGACCGGCCACACUGGGACUGAGACACGGCCCAGACUCCUACGGGAGGCAGCAGUGGGGAAUAUUGCACAAUGGGCGAAAGCCUGAUGCAGCGACGCCGCGUGAGGGAUGACGGCCUUCGGGUUGUAAACCUCUUUCAGUAGGGAAGAAGCGAAAGUGACGGUACCUGCAGAAGAAGCGCCGGCUAACUACGUGCCAGCAGCCGCGGUAAUACGUAGGGCGCAAGCGUUAUCCGGAAUUAUUGGGCGUAAAGAGCUCGUAGGCGGUUUGUCGCGUCUGCCGUGAAAGUCCGAGGCUCAACUUCGGAUCUGCGGUGGGUACGGGCAGACUAGAGUGAUGUAGGGGAGACUGGAAUUCCUGGUGUAGCGGUGAAAUGCGCAGAUAUCAGGAGGAACACCGAUGGCGAAGGCAGGUCUCUGGGCAUCUACUGACGCUGAGGAGCGAAAGCAUGGGGAGCGAACAGGAUUAGAUACCCUGGUAGUCCAUGCCGUAAACGUUGGGCACUAGGUGUGGGGGACAUUCCACGUUUUCCGCGCCGUAGCUAACGCAUUAAGUGCCCCGCCUGGGGAGUACGGCCGCAAGGCUAAAACUCAAAGGAAUUGACGGGGGCCCGCACAAGCGGCGGAGCAUGCGGAUUAAUUCGAUGCAACGCGAAGAACCUUACCAAGGCUUGACAUGUGCUAGACCGCCGUGGAAAU
RNAcentral lists this ribosomal RNA (965 nucleotides) under Paeniglutamicibacter antarcticus. RNAcentral describes it as "bacterial SSU rRNA". It matches the Rfam family "Bacterial small subunit ribosomal RNA", at positions 34 to 1007 of the family's 1533-position model. Lineage: Bacteria; Bacillati; Actinomycetota; Actinomycetes; Micrococcales; Micrococcaceae. The record is from RNAcentral.